AUUUAAAUAGUUUAAUAAAAAUAUUAAUUUGUGGAAUUAAUGAUAUAACUUGGGUUAUUUUAAAUU
RNAcentral lists this transfer RNA (66 nucleotides) under Lepidostoma inops. RNAcentral's name for it is "tRNA-His". Lineage: Eukaryota; Metazoa; Arthropoda; Insecta; Trichoptera; Lepidostomatidae. The record is from RNAcentral.